This is a long non-coding RNA of Prunus persica (peach), 831 nucleotides long. RefSeq lists it as uncharacterized. Lineage: Eukaryota; Viridiplantae; Streptophyta; Magnoliopsida; Rosales; Rosaceae. The transcript has 3 exons. The record is from RefSeq and is a predicted model, not a curated record.
UGCUACAGGGAGGGUGAUGAGAAGGUGAGGGUAAGGGUGAGGGUGAGGCUAGCUAGCUUUAACAUUUAUUGGUGAAUCUUCCUUUCCCAGAUUUGUAGCGGUGGGUUGGGUUUCCUUUCCCCUCAAUCUUUCUUUCUUGACGUAUAUAUAUAUAAAUUAUAUCUUGUCCUUUGUGUGGACGGGGGAAGGAAGCUGGUGCCUGAUGGAAGCAUAGCUGCCUUGAUUAGCUCUACCUGCUCCAAAUGAUUACUGUGCUCUCCUUCCUUCAUCCUUUAGGCUUACUGUACUUCAAAUUUCAGCUUUCAACUUUCAACUUUCAUCAAGAUAAAAAAGGAUUGCAAUGCAACCUCUUUGGGCUUGGCCUGGCGUUGCUUUGCUUUACGCAGUUAGCUAGGCGGCUACAACCAUUUCCAAGUUCCUAUAUUUAUAUAUCUUCACUUCACUUGCGGAUAUCAUAUCAGCCAUCAGAUUUGGUUAUUCUACUUCAAGAUUUGGUUAUUUUCAACUAUGUUUACUUAAGGCCACAUAGCUAUAAGCUUUAAGCUAGCUAUAGGUUGGUUUCUUCAAUACAAUGCUGCUAUGGAUGGCAUGGCAAGGCUCAGCUUAUGAAGAUACUUAAUUAAGGUCUCUGCUUUGGUUGAAGAAAAAUGAAAAUGAACCCGAGGAUCUAGGGUGUGAUAUUUCUGGGAUGUGCAGCAGGUACAAUCGCACAAUUACAAUACGAUAAUGUUGCGAACAAAAGAAAAUUGCAGUUGAUUGCAACUUUUCAGUUAUGAGUGACCAAGACACUCUGAUGCAAAUUAUUAGAGCACACUUACCUAUUUGGAAAAA